RNAcentral lists this ribosomal RNA (440 nucleotides) under uncultured bacterium. RNAcentral's name for it is "partial 16S ribosomal RNA". It matches the Rfam family "Bacterial small subunit ribosomal RNA", at positions 338 to 795 of the family's 1533-position model. The record is from RNAcentral.
CCUACGGGAGGCAGCAGUGGGGGAUAUUGCACAAUGGGGGGAACCCUGAUGCAGCGACGCCGCGUGGGUGAAGAAGCGCCUCGGCGCGUAAAGCCCUGUCAGCAGGGAAGAAAAUGACGGUACCUGAAGAAGAAGCAUCGGCUAACUACGUGCCAGCAGCCGCGGUAAUACGUAGGGGGCGAGCGUUAUCCGGAUUUACUGGGUGUAAAGGGGGCGCAGACGGCGAUGCAAGCCAGAAGGGAAAGCCUGGGGCCAAACCCCGGGACUGCUCUUGGAACUGCGUGGCUGGAGUGCAGGAGGGGUAGGCGGAAUUCCUGGUGUAGCGGUGAAAUGCGUAGAUAUCAGGAGGAACACCGGUGGCGAAGGCGGCCUGCUGGACUGCAACUGACGUUGAGGCCCGAAAGCGUAGGGAGCAAACAGGAUUAGAUACCCUUGUAGUC